RNAcentral lists this ribosomal RNA (253 nucleotides) under uncultured bacterium. RNAcentral describes it as "partial 16S ribosomal RNA". It matches the Rfam family "Bacterial small subunit ribosomal RNA", at positions 524 to 776 of the family's 1533-position model. The record is from RNAcentral.
UACGAAGGGGGCUAGCGUUGUUCGGAAUUACUGGGCGUAAAGGGCGCGUAGGCGGUGUCUUAAGUCAGGCGUGAAAGCCCUGGGCUCAACCUGGGAAUUGCGCUUGAUACUGGGACGCUUGAGUUCGGGAGAGGCGGGUGGAAUUCCCAGUGUAGAGGUGAAAUUCGUAGAUAUUGGGAAGAACACCGGUGGCGAAGGCGGCCCGCUGGACCGACACUGACGCUGAGGCGCGAAAGCGUGGGGAGCAAACAGG